This 465-nucleotide ribosomal RNA is filed under the name uncultured bacterium. RNAcentral describes it as "partial 16S ribosomal RNA". It matches the Rfam family "Bacterial small subunit ribosomal RNA", at positions 28 to 507 of the family's 1533-position model. The record is from RNAcentral.
GACGAACGCUGGCGGCGUGCUUAACACAUGCAAGUCGAACGGAAAGGCCCCCUUGUGGGGUACUCGAGUGGCGAACGGGUGAGUAACACGUGAGUAACCUACCCUUGACUUUGGGAUAACUUCAGGAAACUGGGGCUAAUACCGGAUAGGAGCUCCUGCUGCAUGGUGGGGGUUGGAAAGUUUUGGCGGUUGGGGAUGGACUCGCGGCUUAUCAGCUUGUUGGUGGGGUAGUGGCUCACCAAGGCUUUGACGGGUAGCCGGCCUGAGAGGGUGACCGGCCACAUUGGGACUGAGAUACGGCCCAGACUCCUACGGGAGGCAGCAGUGGGGAAUAUUGCACAAUGGGCGGAAGCCUGAUGCAGCAACGCCGCGUGCGGGAUGACGGCCUUCGGGUUGUAAACCGCUUUCGCCUGUGACGAAGUGUGAGUGACGGUAAUGGGUAAAGAAGCACCGGCUAACUACGUG